This 16302-nucleotide long non-coding RNA is filed under the name Triticum aestivum (bread wheat). Its description in RNAcentral is "long non-coding RNA (TAES_LNC018209)". Lineage: Eukaryota; Viridiplantae; Streptophyta; Magnoliopsida; Poales; Poaceae. The record is from RNAcentral.
UAGAUUCUAGGGUUUCCCUUUCCCAGGAGUGGCAAGUUCCAUGAUAUGCCAGUGUGCUGCUGUUUGUGUGUUGCGUAAUAAUCCGUAAAAUGCCUCUGUGAUGUGUAGUUGGGCCGUAGUAGUUCUGUGCCCUCCAUGUGAAUACGCUCUUGAUGCGAACUUAUGCUGUGAAAUGUGCUUCGUUUCUAGUAAUGAACUUAUGGAUGAAUGUCCGUCCUGAAAUGUUAUGAGUAUUCUGAAAUUCAUGAUGUUUGCUCUGUUGCUAAUUGUUAAUGUGACUCUUGGGGAUCGUUGGUAAUCUGUUUAUUAGGUUAAAUUGUCAAACAUUGUUCUUAAGGGCACGCCUGUUUCUCGCAACCGUGAUGGUUGAAACUUUGGUGGUCUUACUGGUCUGGUGCUGUUAUAACUUAUAUAAGCAUUUACAAGUGUAUACUGCCAACACAUGCUAGGCGUUUACUUGUUUGGUCAUAUUCAUCAGUUUGACCUAUUCAUUGACUUACCCGAAGUGUUGAUGACUAUAAAUGUACAAUGUUUGCUUGCUAAUGGGACACGUUUGUCUCGUGCUAUCGAUUGUAGAUGCGGCAUAAAAUUGCUUACCAGUAGCCUUGUACAUUUGACACGAAGGUCAGCUUGUACAUUGACAAGUGGUAGAUGUUCUUGAUGUUUGACAAGUUUAAUUUGAACUACCAAAGCGUCAUAUAUUUAGGAACGGAGGGAGUAGAAGCCAAAUGCUGAUCUAGGUUAAAUUUAGUUCUUUAUCUUGUAUCUGCUUAACUGUGAAUGGUGUAUGCAUUCAGCAUGGUGCACACAUGCACGUGCAUAAGCACAGUUUUGUAGGUAGGCGGUACUUACCCAACGAUAUUCUAUCUUGUUUUUAGCAUAACGAUAUUAUAUCUUGGGUAAGGGGAAUGCGUCCAUGUCGGUUUCAGCAAGGUUCCUUCAAAAUUAUAAUCUCAUCUUUUUUUUGAGAGAGUAUGCAAAAUGCGUACCAUAGCUUUAUACAGAAGAGAGAAAGUCAAUAUACAAGGAUCUGUUGCCCCUACCAGUCUACCACACCUCAGCCAGGGCAACCAUAGCUCAUCCUGAAAAGGAAACUACUCCUCACAGUCGCUGUAUACCAUUAGUUCCGGGCAUAAUUGAUUUGAUACACGGGCUGAAAGGCCGCAGAGCAGUACAACAAAGAAAGAACCGGAAGAAUAGGCAUCCAGGAGUUCACCAGUUCUGUACAUACAGAGAUGGUCGCUGAAGCAGUAGCUCCACCUGAAGAUAGACAGACAUGGCAUUUCAUAUUAGUCACAGCAUGAGGAUAGGAGAAGAACAUAAUACAUAAUUACAUAUUAUCAUAAAUAAAGCUGAAAUUAGGAUCUCAGGAAGGAAAAUGUUGGGUGGUAUACGGGGUCUACAGUAAUAAUGACAUAAUGGUAGUACUAGUAACCAUUGAGGCAACACUUUCAGUUAUGCUAAUAGGUAAUCCUUGAACUCUUUGUACCAAGAGCUCGAUGAAUGUGGCAAUUUUCUAUGCUCAGCAACUUUGAUUUUGUUAUUCUCAAGAUUGUCAAAAGUGUAAUUCCGUUCUUUUGGGUGCUGUUAUAAAGUUAACGUGGUAUUUGUUGGGAUAAAAUUAAUAAUUAUGCAGAUCAUAUUGCAUCUGUGUCGUCAGACUGAUUCUGGUUACAUGAUCAUAUCAAAUAAGAAUGAGCAAAUCCUUCACAGAACUUGGGGUCAGUCGAUUUUGGUCUGUACGUGUCUUCUGUUUGUCCAUUGGAACACUGUCGACCCCAUACUUGUUCUCUAGCAGCGCCUGGCACUAGGGCAUGCCUAACAAAAAAAAACAUUUUUUUUCCUGUGAAACUUUUAAUCUAUUUAUUUUUAAUCAUGACAAUACAACAAACAACAGAAAUAAUAAAAAUUACAUCUAGAUCCGUAGAUCAUCUAGCGAUGACUAUAAAUAUUGAAGCGAGCUGCAGGUAGUUGGCUUUGGCUUUUCUUUUGGAAGAUGCCAUUCUAUCCAAUCUUCAUAUUUCCCACCCAAUAAAUGGGAUUUUUUUUCUUUAAAUAAAUGCUCCAAGUCCUCUCAGUUUUAUCUCCCGUUGAACUUGUGAUAAAGCGGCAAAACAACCGCGGUAAAUCCUAAAAACAAACUAUCACUAUGAUGCAAAAUACUUAACGAAAACAUGAUAUAAAGUGCACGCAUCAUGACCAAGGGAGGAGGAAGGUUGCGAGUUGGAUGGCAGGGACGCCUUCAUGUUAUAUAGCGAUCAAGAUUAACUAGAAGGCUACAUGUCUUGAGAUCGAUGAUGCCAAAGGUACCGACGAUGCACUACUCUUGGGCGAGAUUGAACACGACAAAGGUGCAUCAAGGCGUGAAUAAGGAAGAAACCACCUUUGUCAGUUUUCGAAUUAAGGACCAACUGCAGCGAAGUAGCCUACUCACUUGAGAGUUGAGAUACAAUGAAGAAUUAAACCUGAAAUACAAAACCUUGUAUGUAUGGGCUGGUUUACAUCGUAAAUUAACUCUAUAUACCGAACACCAUCCUUACUAAAUGAAGCCAAUCAAAUCAUUCCAAGCACCCAACUGAAUUCCCAUGCGGAGCGCAAAGUAAAUUACCAUACGACUAGAAAUUCUUAGUUUUUACAGACUUCGUUGCCUCAUAUCAUAUCAUAAAUGGGCGGAAUAGGCUUUGUUGGAAGACAAGUGCACAGAAAUUCAACCUCUCGUCGUUGUAAACUAGUUGAGCAAUAACACGGUUGAUUGUCUCCAGUUCCCCGGUCUUGGGGUCGUAGUACCCUAACGACCGUCCGGUGUUGACCAAAAUCCGUUCAUCUAUAGGAUCGAUACCCAUCAGCAUUGUUCUCUCGGAUGAGUACUGUGGCGAAAAUUUGGCAAGCUAUACGCGGUACUUCAUGCACCAGAUGUUGCUAUCCUCCAUCCUUCAUACAUCAAUGGCGUUCGCGUCUUGAUACGAUGAUGCCACGUGAAUUGUAUCGUGGGGCUCAACGAUGGAAAUGCGAGCGUCGCCGUAGUUUAACGGGGGGCCUUCCAUGAUCUGAUCUCGAACUCUCUUUCCUUGGUGUCAAAUGCCACCAGCUCGCAGGAUGUCGUGGAGCUUGUCCCGAAGCUUCGCUCGACCACUGGCUUUAGUGGAGGCUCAGUCCGACUCCACCCUUCACACAUCGGUCACUACAUCGUAGUUUGUAGUCCCGAGUGUCUAUGUUCUUUCCUCGUAGGCGAGAGACACCAAACACAUGGUCGUCGAUGUCAGAGUCGUAUCCCAAUGCCAUACAGGCCGCGGAGGAACCGUAUCCUUGGUUGUCUUACCAUCUUCGUCGUCAUGUUGUAUGCACUGGUGGUAGCGGAUGGCAGGAUUGCACAGGAAAUCCUAUCCAUUGCAGGUCCCCAAGUUGAGGCCGUGACAAGGUUGAGAGUGUCGGGGUUACGAUCCUGACAAUGAGUACUAGGGAUACGAAAGAGGGGUAGAGCUUAGCUACGAUGUAGGUAUAACACUUGGUGUUUAGCGAGUUUAGGCUCCUCUCUGCGGAGAUAAUAGCCCUACGUCUCGUGUCCCAGGCUUGGUUUUUAUUGAGGGAUAUGAUUACAGAGAAUGCUUAAUCCCAGCUCAAGAGGAGGAGUGCGGCUUAUAUAGAGUGCGCUGGAGCUCCAACGUCUCCACGUCGCUAGGGCACUUAAUGCUCAUUACUAUGGCAGUUAUUGGUAUAAAGCGUCACAACUACAGUAGUUACACGUAACGGUAGCCACAACCAUACUUUAAGGGUGACUUAGGAUUCCUCGACCGUUGCAGCUCCCACGCCGUCCCUCCACUCCCCUUGUCCGAGUGGUGGUUGUCGUGCCGACUGAGGAGUGUUCGUCGAGUGCUGUUGAGGUGUCCGAGUGGACUUAGUGAUAUGUGCAUCCGAUGCUGACAUGGUCCAGGGACCUACCAAUGAUGGUGUGAGGCCCUAGGUGGACCCCAUAUGAUGGGUUCUUGACCCUACGUGUAGUAGGUGACCUCAUCAUUAGCCCCCGAAUCGAUUGAGGUUUCGUAAGGCACACAAACCGAGCCUUCGGUUAAGUCCAAGUACUUCGGGAGCACUCGAAAUAUGUUUCUGAGUCGUGGUUCGUUGCUCCUUAGACGAAAACACAACGGAUUCUGGACUAUACAUUUUCCCGGAUGACCAAGUGUCGUUGAUCGCCGAGAAAAAUCCGGUGGCAUUCAUUUGACUCUCGGAGGAGAUAGACUUGAGGCCCGAGUGAGGGCAUGCCAUUAUAACCCGAGUGGCGACGCCGGUGCGUGGUCUGACUCCCCGGAGAGAUGCCCCUCCUUAUCCCAGGGGAACACUAGCACAUGCCAUCUACGAGUCCAGAUUUACAAGUCAUGCUCCUUGGAGCCUAAUGAAAGGGCCAAGUCAACCCGCGGAGGGGCGUCAAGCUCGCCUCAUAGCGAUCAUGAAGAGGACUUCAGUCGGGUGUUUAACGUGUUCGAGUGCACGUGUCCCCGUGGAGGGUGAUCCGUCGGACUGACGGGCUCCCUUGAGAAAAGGGAUCGCGAGCAAAUCAAUCGGAUUGAUUUACCCCGGAAAUAUCGGAUUUGAAUUUGUCGUGCGCGCGCAUAAGCGGUAACGACACAGGUUAGUGGGGAAAGUGGGGCAUGACGCCUCGAUUUUCACCCACAAAAUCCGCCACGUGCUGCGGUUCCUCUGCGAUGCUCUGUUGCGUGUGUUGUUAGUCCAGAAAUCUGCGGCGUGAGAUCCGUCGUGCGAUUUUAUCAGAGACAUAAAAGGAUUGGGGGUUGGGGUUAAGCAUCCAGAUCCCCUCCUCUCCCUCUCGACUCCUCCGCUUCUCCUCUCCACUCGAGUGCAUCAGGUGCUCGAAUCCAUGGCGAAAGACUCCACGGCCAAGACGGAGACGACGAAGAAGACCGGGAAGGCUUCCUCCUCGGGCUCCGGCGCGGCUGUUGGGGGCGCGUCAGGGGAUGGGAUCCCCUCGCGCGUCUCGGCCAAGUGGUUGGAGGAGCUCGCUGCAGAGGGGCUCAUCCCGCAGGAUGGAUGGCAUCGCCCGAUGGCAGGGGAGGUCGAACUGGCAUCACAGGAGGACGAGCGCGUCCUUCUGGUCACUCAUAUUGAGAGAGGUUUCUCAAUGCCUCCUCAUCCUUUCUUCUGAGCGUUCCUCGACUAUUUCUGUGCGCAACUCCACCAUCUUCCCCCAAAUGCCAUUAUCUACCUUUCGGCUUUCAUCUCUCUCUACGAGAAUUUUCUCGGUUGCCAUCCCCAUUGGGGCCUCUUCAAACACAUCUUCACCUAUCAGUCGAUGACUGUCAAGAAGGAUUCGCCGACUGGUGCCAAGACCAAUGUCACCCAGCUGUGCGGUGGUCUGGGGAUCCAGCUCUGGGGAGGGAGUGCCUUCCCAAAAAUGAGCUUCCCCGACUCCGUGAAGGGGUGGCAGGGGACUUGGUUUACUGCAGGGACAUCCCCGGGGCCAGUAGUCAAUCGGGCCUCCCGCCGUACUCAUCAGAGAGGGUGAGGGCCCCCGCAUCGCUUUUUGUGAUGGAGGAGAAGACGAAGGUCGACAUCUUGUCCAGCGCCCUUGUUGGGUUUGUGAACGUCGACGUGAAUGGGAUAGAUCUGUUGGAGACCUUCCUCACUCGGAGGAUCUAGCCGUUGCAAGCCAGAGCUCACCCCAUGUGGUUGUACGAGGGGUCGAGUGACGCCACCCGAGUGCACCCAGAAGACCUGGACGAGAAGGACGUGGGGGCCAAGAUCCGCGCGAUCACUUGCACCCGCGACAAUGCAAGGGGGGCCAGGAUGGUGCCUGCAAACUCCAAGGAACCGCUAUUUCUUGAGCUUGCGUUGGUUUUUCCCUUGAAGAGGAAAGGGUGAUGCAUCGAAGUAGAGAUAAGUAUUUCUCUCAAUUAAGAACCAAGGUAUCAAUCCAGUAGGAGAAGAAUGCGCAAAUAAAAAAUACCUGCACAAAUAAUCAAACACUUGCACCCAACGCGAUAAAGGGGUUGUCAAUCCCUUCACGAUCACUUGCAAAGGUGAGAUCUGAUAGAGAUAGAUAAAUAAAACUAAACAAAAGAUAAAAUAUUUUUGGGUUUUUUGGUUUAUAGAUCUAAAAGUAAAAGAUUACAAAAUAUUAGAUCGGAAACUAAUAUGAUGGAAAAUAGACCCGGGGGCCAUAGGUUUCACUAGAGGCUUCUCUCUUUAAGGCAAAUAAUACGGUGGGGAACAAGUCAAUGUCGAGCAAUUGAUAGAAAAGCGCAAAGUUAUGACGAUAUCCAAGGCAAUGAUUAUGUAAUAUAGGCAUCACAUCCGUGUCAAGUAGACCGACUCCUACCUGCAUCUACUACUAUUACUCCACACAUCGACCGCUAUCUAGCAUGCAUCUAGAGUAUUAAGUUCAUAAAGAACGGAGUAACGCCUUAAGUAGGAUGACAUGAUGUAGAGGAAUAAACUCAAGCAAUGUAAACCCCAUCUUUUUAUCCUCGAUGGCAACAAUACAAUACGUGCCUCGCUACCCCUACUUUGUCACUAGGUGAGGACAUCGCAAGAUUGAACCCAAAGCUAAGCACCUCUCCCAUUGCAAGAAAAACCAAUCUAGUUGGCCAAACCAAACCGAUAGUUCGAAGAGAAAUACAAAGAUAUCAAAUCAUGCAUAUAAGAAUUCAGAGAAGAUUCAAAUAAUAUCCAUAGAUAAGCUGAUCAUAAAUCCACAAUUUACCGGAUCUCGUCAAACACACUGCAAAAGAAGAUUACAUCAGAUAGAUCUCCAAGAAGAUCGAGGAGAACAUGGUAUUGAGAAUCAAAGACAGAGAAGAAGCCAUCUAGCUACUAGUUAUGGGCCCGUAGGUCUGAGGUAAACUAUUCACGCUUCAUCGGAAGGGCAAUAGAGUUGAUGUAGAUGCCCUCCGUGAUCGAAUCCCCCUCUGGCAGGAUGCCGGAAAAGGCCCCCAGAUGGGAUCUGACGGGAACAGAAGGUUGCGGCAGUGGAAAAGUGUUUUCGUGGAUUCUUCUAGUGGUUUGGGAAUAUAUGUGAAUAUAUAGGAGGCAGAACUAGGUCAGGGGGUCACGAGGGGCCCACAAGGUAGGGGGCGCGCCCUCCACCCUUGUCGCCGCCUCGUGGCUCUUCUGACUUGAACUCCAAGUCUCCUGGGUGUCUUCUGGUCCAAGAAAAAUCAUCGCGAAAGUUUUAUUUCGUUUGGACUCUAUUUGGUAUUCCUUUUCUGCGAAGCUCAAAAAGAAGGAAGAAACAAAAACUGGCACUGGGCUCUAGGUUAAUAGGUUAGUCCCAAAAAUAAUAUAAAUAGCAUAUUAAUGCAUAUAAAACAUCCAAAACAGAUAAUAUAAUAGCAUGGAACAAUAAAAAAUUAUAGAUACGUUGGACACGUAUCAAGCAUCCCCAAGCUUAACUCCUGCUUGUCCUCGAGUAGGUAAAUGAUAAAAACAGAAUUUUUGAUGUGGAAUGCUACCUAACAUAUUUAUCCAUGUAAUUUUCUUUAUUGUGGCAUGAAUGUUCAGAUCCAUAAGACUCAAAACAAAAGUUUAAUAUUGACAUAAAAACAAUAAUACUUCAAGCAUACUAACAAAGCAAUCACGUCUUCUCAAAAUAACAUGGCCAAAGAAAGCUAUCCCUACAAAAUCAUGCAUAUAGUCUGGAUAUGCUCCAUUUCAUCAUACAAAAUAUUCAAAUCAUGCACAACCCCGAUGACAAGCCAAGCAAUUGUUUCAUACUUUUGAUGUUCUCAAACCUUCUCAACUUUCAUGCAAUACAUGAGCGUGAGCCAUGGACAUAACACUAUAGGUGGAAUGGAAUAUGUUGGUUGUGGAGAAGACAAAAAGAAGAAUAUAGUCUCACAUCAACUAGGCGUAUCAAUGGGCUAUCGAGAUGCCCAUCAAUAGAUAUCAAUGUGAGUGAGUAGGGAUUGCCAUGCAACGGAUGCACUAGAGCUAUAAGUUUAUGAAAGCUCAAAAAGAAACUAAGUGGGUGUGCAUCCAACUUACUUGCUCUUGAAGACCUAGGGCAAUUUGAGGAAGCCCAUCGUUGGAAUAUACAAGCCAAGUUCUAUAAUGAAAAAUUCCCACUAGUAUAUGAAAGUGACAACAUAGGAGACUCUCUAUCAUGAAGAUCAUGGUGCUACUUUGAAGCACAAGUGUGGAAAAAGGAUAGUAACAUUGCCCCUUCUCUCUUUUCUCUCAUUUUUUUUUGUUUGGCUUCUUUGGCCUCCUUUUUUUGUUGGCUUCUUUGGACUCUUUUACUUUUUUCCUCACAUGGGACAAUGCCCUAAUAAUGAAGAUCAUCACACUUUUAUUUACUUACAACUCGAUACUUAGAACAAAAUAUGACUCUAUAUGAAUGCCUCCGACGGUGUACCGGGAUGUGCAAUGACUCAAGAGCGACAUGUAUAAAAAAUGAUGAAUGGUGGCUUUGCCACAAAUACGAUGUCAACUACAUGAUCAUGCAAAGCAAUAUGACAAUGAUGAAGCGUGUCAUAAUAAACGAAAUGGUGGAAAGUUGCAUGGCAAUAUAUCUCGGAAUGGCUAUGGAAAUGCCAUAAUAGGUAGGUAUGGUGGCUGUCUUGAGGAAGGUAUAUGGUGGGUGUAUGGUACCGGAAAGUUGCGCGGUACUAGAGAGGCUAGCAAUGGUGGAAGGGUGAGAGUGCGUAUAAUCCAUGGACUCAACAUUAGUCAUAAAGAACUCACAUACUUAUUGCAAAAAUCUAUUAGUCAUUGAAACAAAGUACUACGCGCAUGCUCCUAGGGGGAUAGAUUGGUAGGAAAAUACCAUCGCUCAUCCCCGACCGCCACUCAUAAGGAAGACAAUCAAAAAAUACCUCAUGCUCCAACUUCGUUACAUAACGGUUCACCGUACGUGCAUGCUAUGGGAAUCAUAAACUUCAACACAAGUAUUUCUAUAAUCCACAAUUACUCACUAGCAUGACUCCAAUAUUAUCACCCUCAUAUCUCAAAACAAUCAUAAGGAAUCAAACUUCUCAUAGUAUUCAAUGCACUUUAUAUGAAAGUUUUUAUUAUAUCCCUCUUGGAUGUCUAUCAUAUUAGGACUAAAUUCAUAACCAAAGCAAAUUACCAUGCUGUUUAGAAAGACUCCCAAAAUAAUAUAAGUGAAGCAUGAGAGUUCAACCAUUUCUAUAAAAUAAAACCACCACCGUGCUCUAAAAAGAUAUAAGUGAAGCACUAGAGCAAAAUUGCCUAGCUCAAAAGAUAUAAGUGAAGCACAUAGAGUACUCUAAUAAAUCACGAUUCAUGCGUGUCCCUCUCGAAAGGUAUACGACAAGGAUGAUUGUGGCAAACUAAAAAGCAAAGACUCAUAUCAUACAAGACGCUCCAAGCAAAACACAUAUCAUGUGGUGACUAAAAAUAUAGCCUCAAGUAAAGUUACCGAUAGACGAAGAUGAAAGAGGGGAUGCCUUUUGGGGCAUCCCCAAGCUUAGGCUCUUGGUUGUCCUUGAAUAUUACCUUGGGGUGCCUUGGGCAUCCCCAAGAUUUGGCUCUUGCCACUCCUUAUUCCAUAGUCCAUCAAAUCCUUACGCAAAACUUGAAAACUUCACAACACAAAACUCAACAGAAAAUCUCAUGAGAUCCGUUAGUAUAAGAAAAUAAAAUCACCACUUAUGGUACUGUUGUGAACUCGUUCUUUAUUUAUAUUGGUGUAAUAUCUAUUGUAUUCCAAAUUCUCCAUGGUUCAUACCCCCCGAUACUAUCCAUAGAUUCAUCAAAAUAAGCAAACAACACAUAGAAAAUAGAAUCUGUCAAAAAUAGAACAAUCUGUAGUAAUCUGUAACUCUCGAAUACUUCUGUAACUCCAAAAAUUCUUAAAAAUUAGGACAACAGAGGCAAUUUGUAUCUUAAUUUUCUGCAAAAAGAAUCCGAAUUUUAGAACGCUUUUGUGAUUUUUAAUAAUUCUGAGACUGGGCGCAAAAGUUUCUAUUUUUCAGCAAGAUCAAAUCAACUAUCACCGUAAGCCAUCCCAAAGGUCUUACUUGGCACACACACUAAUUAAAACACAAAACACAUCUAACUAGAGGCUAGAUGAAUUAUUUGUUGCAAAACAGCAAGGAAAAAUAUUGGGUUAUUUCCCAACAAGUGCUUUUCUUUAAAGCCUUUUCGCUAGCCAUUGAUAAUUUUAAUGAUGCUCGCAUGAAAGACAAGAAUUGAAGCACAAAGAGAGCAUCAUAAAACACGUGACAAACACAUCUAGGUCUAACAUACUUCCCAUGCAUAGGCAUUUUAUAAGCAAACAAUUUGUCAAGGCAAGCAAAAACUAGCAUAUGCAAGGAAGAAGAAUACAACUUUGACAAUCUAAGCAUCAAGAGAGGUAAUUUAGUGAUAUGAAGAUUUCUACAGCCAUACUUUCCUCUCUGAUAAUAAUUGCAAGUAGGGUCAUAAUCAAAUUCAACAAUAUAGCUAUCACAGAACAUAUUUCCUACAUGAUCCUCAUGCAUGAAAAUUUGACACUGUUCCAAAAUAGUGGGAUUAACAUUAACUAAAGUCAUGACCUCUCCAAACCCACUUUUAUCAAAAAAUUCAUGAGAUUGAUCAUACUCCAAAGUAGUGGGAUCAUUAUUACCUAGAGUUGACACUCUUCCAUACCCACUUUUAAUAUUAUUGCAAACAUAUUCAUCAUGAGGCUUAAAUAAAUUUUCAAGAUUAUAAGAAGAAUCACCCCAAUCAUGAUCAUUGCAAGAAGUAGUGGACAUAACAAAAUUAGCAUCCCCAAGCUUAGGGUUUUGCAUAUUAUUAGCACAACUGACAUUAAUAGAAUUUAUAAUAACAUCAUUGCAAUCAUGCUUUUGAUUCAAGGAACUAUCAUGAAUCACUUCAUAAAGAACUUCAUCACAAUUUUCAGAUUCACGGAUUUCGAGCAAAACUUCAUAAAGAUAAUCUAGUGCACUCAACUCACUAGCAAUUGGUUCAUCAUAGUUGGAUCUCUUAAAUAGAUUAUCAAGUGGAUGAGGAUCCAUAAACUCUUUGCUUCUGAUUUUCAAUAAACACACAAUUAUACCAAGCAAACGAGCAAAUAAACCAAGUAAGACCUAAGGGCAAACAGAAAGAAAGUGAAUAAAAAGGCAAAUCUUUUUGAAAAUCGUUUUAGAAGUGGGGGAGAGGAAAACGAGAGGCGAAUGGCGAAUAAUGUAAUGCAAGAGAUGAGAGUUUAUGAUGGGUACUUGGUAGGCUUGAUGUAGAUCUUGACUUGGCAUAGAUCUCCCUGGCAACGGCACCAAAAAUUCUUCCUGCUAUUUCUUGAGCUUGUGUUGGUUUUUCCCUUGAAAAGGAAAGGGUGAUGCAACAAAGUAGAGAUAAGUAUUUCCCUCAGUUAAGAACCAAGGUGUCAAUCCAGUAGGAGAAGAACACGCAAAUCACCAAUACAUGCACAAACAAUCGAACACUUGCGCCCAACGCGAUAAAGGGAUUGUCAAUCCCUUCACGGUCACUUGCAAAGGUGAGAUCUGAUAGAGAUAGAUAAAUAAACCUAAACAAAAGAUAAAAUAUAUAUUUUCGUUUUUUGGGUUUAUAGAUCUGAAAGUAAAGAUUGCAAAAUAGUAGAUUGGAAACUAAUAAGAUGGAAAAUAUACCCGGGGGCCAUAGGUUUCACUAGAGGCUUCUCUCUUUAAGGCAAAUAAUACGGUGGGUGAACAAAUUACUGUCGACCAAUUGAUAGAAAAGCGCAACGUUAUGACGAUAUCCAAGGCAAUGAUUAUGUAAUAUAGGCAUCACGUUCGUGUCAAGUAGACCGACUCCUACCUGCAUCUACUACUAUUACUCCACAUAUCGACCGCUAUCCAGCAUGCAUCUAGAGUAUUAAGUUCAUAAAGAAUGGAGUAACGCCUUAAGUAAGAUGACAUGAUGUAGAGGAAUAAACUCAAGCAAUGUAAACCCCAUCUUUUUAUCCUCGAUGGCAACAAUACAAUACAUGCCUCGCUACCCCUACUUUGUCACUGGGUGAGGACAUCGCAAGAUUGAACCCAAAGCUAAGCACCUCUCCCAUUGCAAGAAAAACCAAUCUAGUUGGCCAAACCAAACCGAUAGUUCGAAGAGAAAUACAAAGAUAUCAAAUCAUGCAUAUAAGAAUUCAGAGAAGAUUCAAAUAAUAUUCAUAGAUAAGAUGAUCAUAAAUCUAAAAUUCAUCGGAUCUCGACAAACACACUGCAAAAGAAGAUUACAUCAGAUAGAUCUCUAAGAACAUCGAGGAGAACAUGGUAUUGAGAAUCAAAGACAGAGAAGAAGCCAUCUAGCUACUAGCUAUGGACCCGUAGGUCUGAGGUAAACUACCCACGCUUCAUUGGAAGGGCAAUAGAGUUGAUGUAGAUGCCCUCCGUGAUCGAAUCCCCCUCCGGUAGGAUGCCGGAAAAGGCCCCAAGAUGGGAUCUCGUGGAUACAGAAGGUUGCGGCGGUGGAAAAAUGUCUUCAUGGAUGCUUUUGGUGGUUUGGGAAUAUAUGUGAAUAUAUAGGAGGCAUAACUAGGUCACGGGGGUCACGAGGGGCCCACAAGGUAGGGGGCGCACCCUACCCCCUAGGCACACCCUCCACCCUUGUCGCCGCCUCGUGGCUCUUCUGACUUGAACUCCAAGUCUCCUGGGUGUCUUCUGGUCCAAGAAAAAUCAUCGCGAAAGUUUUAUUCCGUUGGACUUCGUUUGGUAUUCCUUUUCUACGAAGCUCAAAAACAAGGAAAAACAGAAACUAGCGCUGGGCUCUAGGUUAAUAGGUUAGUCCCAAAAGUAAUAUAAAAUAGCAUAUUAAUGCAUAUAAAACAUCCAAAUCAGAUAAUAUAAUAGCAUGGAACAAUAAAAAAAUAUAGAUAUGUUGGAGACGUAUUAGGAACUGCCGCCUGUCGAGAUACGCAUCUAAUGCUCAGCCGAAGUGUCCAUAUGUUAUUUCUUGUGUAUUUGAUUUUGGGUGUUUUUGGUAUGUUUGUUCUCCAGAGUCCAACAUUUGAUCUCCGAAAUCCCGGUGGUCGACCGGUCGCCCAAGGACGUGACGAGUGACACCGAGCGCCAGUACUCGGAGGAUACUGAUGAUGACGACGAAAGCGAUGAGGGUGAGAGCUCUGAGGAGGGUGAGGAGGCCGAGUCCUCCCCGUCCUACGAGGCUCCCAAGGAACGCCGCUCGAAGGCGCGCAUGAUCCGAGUGGCAAGGCAUGCGGAGCCCAGCAGUCGAAUGCUUCAGGGCAGACGACUCACAGCUCGAAGCGAGUGCAUACUGAGGUGGAGAGCUUCGCUAAGAAGCAGGCUAAGCAGGCUAAGCAGAUCGCCUUCAAGCCUCGGAAGGCCGUUGUGCCUCGGAUCAAGGUGAUAGUGCCGGUUGCCUCGACUUAAGUGCUCUCGUUAAAUCUUUAUUUGCCGUUAUCUCGACUCGGUUGACAGCCAAGUGUUGUUGAACUUUGUAGCAAUGAGACUUCAACGACGUCAGCGGAUCCGAAUGCUCCUAAGGAUGGCCAGGAUGACAUCGAUGCAGCGGACGCCACCACCUCUGAAGGUAUUUUCUCACCGACUGGUCAUUAUAUCCAGGCUUUUUCUGAUUGACUUUCGCUAAUAUUUCCAACUCGUAUGCUCAAGUAGCUCCGCUAGAGGUCAUCCAGCUGGACGACGAUGAAAGGUCUGACCCGCCUAACCUAGAGGCUGACAAGGGAAAGGCACCCGACGCCGAUGUGGUCAUGCAGGAGGCUUCCCCCGGCCAAGACUACCUUGAAGGCUAUGGUGCCAAGUCCUCUAGCUCAGAGCAGCUCCACGCCAGCGACUGCCAUGCAUGAUUCCGGCUCCGAGGCCCACACUAGCACCUCCUUCGGCCCCUGCCACCGCUAUCCCCCUCCACUGUGUCCCAGAAGAGCAAGUGGGGGCGAGCAAGGAGGCCCUGAUUCAGGUGGGGCUGAUGUGCAGUCGGCUGAAGGACGCCUACAACACCAGCGAGGCGCUGCAGACCAACAUCCGAGUAAGUACCAUUGUGAGUAAGAUUUUCAGCUGAAUUUUCCGUUUCUUUCUCUGCGGUAGGGUUUUCGUCAGGGUUUGUGUCAGUGGGUUUGCGUACAGCACACCCACUGGGUGUGUGAUUUUGAUCCAGCGGGGGCACUCUGAGUGCACCCACUGGGUGUAGUCCCUGAGGCUCCCGUUGACUGGAAAUAGUCAGCGGGAGUCUUGAACUUAUGUUUCUCGUUGUUGUCACUUCUACUCGGGUUUAGCUGGGGCAUUCCCGAGUGUUUGCAUAUCAGUGGGGGCACGCUGAGUUCACCUACUGGCUGUAGUCCCUGAGGCUACCGCGGACUGGAAGCGACCGGUGGUAUUCUUAGAACUUCUCUGCCCCUUUGCCGGAGGGUAGGUUGCCUUUUUUUAGCUCAUCAACACGAGUCACUUUCCAGGGGGGCAUGCUGACUGCACCCUCUGGGUGUAGUCCCCGAGACUAUUGCUGAUUGCGGGCAAUUGGUGACAGUCUUUAGGACCGUUCCUGUCGUGUGGCACUCGGAGUGCUCGAUCGUACUCGGAUGACCGAGGGAGUAUUCUGAUGAGAUGAGGGAUAGGAUCUUCUUCAUUGCUGACUUGGUGGUUAGCCAAAUGAAGGUAGAUUAGGGUGUUUUUGGUCCUCGAUCUUCCUCAUUGCCGACUCAGAAGUCAGCCGAAUGAAGGUAGAUCAUGGUGUCGUUGUCCUCGAUCUUCUUCAUUGCCGACUCGGUGGUUAGCUGAGUGACAGUAGACCAAGGUGUUAUUGUCCCCGAUCUUCUUCAUCACCGACUCGGUGGUCAGCCAAGUGAUAGUAGAUCAAGUUGUUGUUGUCCUCUAUCUUAUUCAUUGCUGGUUAGUUUUUGUGCGGUGUAGAGGGCCUGUGAGCUGGGAUCACAUUACGCUGACCUGGAGAAGGAAGUGGCAUUGCUCCGAGUGGACCUAGAUGCGGAGAGGAAUAAGAGUGCCCGACUGGAGAAGGAGAAGAAGACCCUGGGAGGUUAGCUAUUUUCCUCCAUUGGUCACUUGCAUUCUGUUUUCCCUCUUGAUCCGAGCCAUCCUGCUUGAAUCAGAUGUUCGUAGUGAGAAUGCUCAACUCGUAAAGAGGCUUAGAACUUCUAUUUCUUUAGAUACCAGGAAGCAGGCCCUGGAAAACAAGGACAAGUAGCUGGCACUAGCCUGGAAGGAAGCCAAGGCCAAGACAAAACUUGCUGAGGAGAAGCUGGCAUUAGUCAGCAAGCUGGAGAAGGAGAUCGAGACCCUCAAAGCUACCGCUAUCGCGGCUAAAGACGAGUCCGCCGAGCGGGAGAAGAAGUGCAUGGGUCAAGCCGUCGUCUUCAAGCAGGAAAAGAAGACCUUGGAGGAGAAAGUUGCACAGCUCCUUGAGAAGAUGAACGCACUCGAGCAAUAUAUCCAUGACUUCUCCACCGAGAUGACUGAUAAGCUUGCCAGUAAAUAUUUUGUCCGAAUGUAGUCCAUUAGCUAUCAGACUCGUUCAGCCAUUGACCUCUGGCGUCGUUUCCUUUAAUAGAAUACCACCAUGAUGUGGAGCUGGAGAUGGGGCGGAUCAAGCGGGACCUGGACCCAAAAGGCAACUUGUCGAUGACAAGGCCACCCUAGCUGUUCUCCGGCUCGACGAAUGUCUCGACAACGCCUUGGGCUACAUCACAUGCCUAUGUGGCGCUUUGGGAGAAUCGACAAGGAGCUGCAGCCCGGCAAGACUCUCCAGAUGGAUAUGGAGUCCAUGAUGAGGCGACUAAAUGAAAUCCCUGCUCGAGUGCGUGCGUGGAAGAAUUCGACGGCUCGCAGCAGCGCUGGUGUAGCUAUGUUACUUGUUUGCGUCCAUUGCAAGGAUGUGGACAAAGAGAAGCUGAAGAAUCUCUGAGUGAUCAAUAAGAAAAAGCUCAAGUUUGAGGACUUCACUGAGACCUUCACCAAGGCUGCCACGCGCAUUGCUGAUGGGAUCGAUAUGGAGACCUUUGUCAAGCUGGCUAGCCCUCAGCCAGCUGCCUCAAAAACUUGCUUGACUUGAAUUUGCCCCGGAAUGCGGGGCGGUUAAUGUAACCGUAAACACCGACGAGCUUUGAGCUCGCUUACUCUGCUUUUGCUUGGGACAUUCGAAAAUAUCAAACCUUUUGAUUUGAGAACUUUGAGUCCUUAACUAUUUUUGUGUUUUGUUAGACUCAGGCAAAAGCUGGUUCGCGGCUAAGCCUCCGGGUGUGGACCGUGUCCUCACUCGGAUUACUUUUGUACUUAGGCGAAAACUGGUUCGUGGCUAAGUCCCCGAGUGUGGAUCAUGUCCUCACUUGGAAUGUUUUUGAACUUAGGCGAAACUGGUUCGCGGCCAACACUACAAAAAAAA